RNAcentral lists this ribosomal RNA (251 nucleotides) under uncultured prokaryote. RNAcentral describes it as "partial 16S ribosomal RNA". It matches the Rfam family "Bacterial small subunit ribosomal RNA", at positions 525 to 775 of the family's 1533-position model. The record is from RNAcentral.
ACGGAGGGUGCAAGCGUUAAUCGGAAUCACUGGGCGUAAAGCGCGCGUAGGCCGCUUUUUAAGUCGGGCGUGAAAGCCCUCGGCUCAACCGAGGAAUUGCGUUCGAAACUGGGAAGCUUGAGUCCUGGAGAGGGUGGCGGAAUUCCGGGUGUAGGAGUGAAAUCCGUAGAUAUCCGGAGGAACACCGGUGGCGAAGGCGGCCACCUGGACAGGUACUGACGCUGAGGCGCGAAAGCGUGGGGAGCAAACAG